UUGGUGAAUCCGGCCAGGCACGGUGAAUCCCAACUGUGGCGCCGCUCUGCCCCAACGCGGGGCCCUCAGAACGCCGCCCCGCCGCGAUGCACGACCCUUGGGGUGCCGGCUCGAUGCCCGCUGCGCUGCCGCGACCCGACGCCGUGGCCGUGAAGGGGGGAACGGGACGCUGCCCACGGCGGAGGUCUUGGAGACAACGAGGGCGGGCACGACAGCGGCUUCGGGACGAUGCUGAUGGAGUCGCUGAAUCGGCUACCUCUACUCCUGUACGAUGGCUCCCUCCGUCCGCCCCUCUCGCGGAUUCCUAACUCCCCGACCACCCCGUCACCGUCGACAGGGACAACAGGAACAAGGUGACGGUGUGCGCUGAUUCAUUGAGGAACAAUUGCUUCUAGGGGAGGACAUGCCGCUACUACCACACACCCCCGCAUAUCCAGAAUUGCUGAGUUGAAGAAUAAGGUCGAAAUGAUUCCAAUGGCUACAAGAGAUAGGAGAGGAGGUGGCAAGCAGCAUGGGUAGCUUCAUGAAGAUGAUGAGGCGACUUCACUAUUUUAGAUGCGAAGAACAUAGAGGGGCCAUGGACGUGAUGUUCAUUUGCACAGGCUGCUCCUCUCUCCCUCACCAGAGGCAUCUCCUAGGUCUCAAUUUAGAUUAAAUGAUUCAUAUUGAUAAACAUGCAUGACUACUCACAUGUGUUGCCUUCAUAGUACAUUUAUACUAUGGUUCCAACCAUAAUUUUGCAGCAUUUUGAUUUGCCAGCAGGCUAGACCAUGGGUGGAGCGCGUGCUCAAGGAGCACCUACACAUCUGAAUGAAAGAAUGCACGCACACAGUGGUGGUGGUGGUGCCAUUUAUCACAAUAGAUGACAUAUGGUUACUAUAUUUUGGAUUGUUGUUCUUUAGAUUAAUCAGCACCGUACCCUUAUCAAAAUGGUAUCCUUCAGACUUGUCGAACUUGAAGUCAUGCCAACAUGUCGUUGAUGGAGAAAACCAAGGACACCAAACUAUCACAAUGAUGAAGGUGACAUGGUUGUCUUUGCAUGGUUGCGGGUGUCAAUUUUAAUUAUGCUUUGCUGGACUUUUUCAAAAACAAGCUCCCUACAAGCACGAGUCUGUAAAGGUAUUUCCUUCUUUAGCAGCUGGAGUAUCUUCCAUUUCUGUUUCAAAGCAAGAUGAUUUAGUUUAUUCCAUCUCUCUUCCUUUGCUAAUUCGAAUUAAAUUCUUUUAUACAUGCUUGCUAAAUAUGUUUGUUUAAACAAAAUGGGUUUCCUGUCUAGAUCCUUUUAAUGGUUAACAUUAUUCAAUCGAAAUGUAAUUCAGUGAUGCAUCUUGUAACAGCACUGUAGAAGGAGCUUCAGAUGUAGGUUAGUCAAUAUUAUUAACUUUGUCAGUACAGUCAUUCUGCAUAACUUGGAAGGAUCACCUUCUUGUAAAUAACCAAAUAGUUCUAUAUAUGUCAUAUAGAUGCUAUCAAGAUUCCCAAUUUAUGCUCGCUGACUUUAUUUGCAUGAAUAGGUAAGACCGUGCCAAGCUUUAUACUCCAUUAUUGUUUAUUGACACAAUUGGCGGAUGCAUGGUUACAACAGAAUGUUAAGUCAUCGUUGUUAUUCCCUGCUGAUACCUCAGGGUUGUUUCUGUUGUCACCCGGAUCGCCUCACCAUGAAGAGGGCUCUUGGGCUUCCUACUAUUCUGGAUGCAUACUAUGCAUGGCAAAUGAUGAUCAAGGUCUGUCCACAUGCCAACGGGUACUCUCAAGGUUUGUAAGGUGGCUGAAGAACGUCAAGGUGAGGACCUGAACAUCAUGCCUUAGAUGUUGCAAGCUUGAGGAGGACAUUUGUUUUCUGUGGUUCUCUCUCUCUUUAACUGAAGGUGAAGAUGAGAGCCAAGCCUAAAGGUCACCCUUCUCUGGCUUUCAGCUCUCUAGGCUUGUCAGCUUCACAGCUCUUGAUGUAUGAAAACAAUGGCAGCUUCACAACGGAUUAUAGGCUAUUAGGCUGUUUGGAAAUAUUUAUGCGAACACUUAAAAAUCAGAAUGCAUAUACUCUUGUUUUCUGAAAAUGUGUAGGUUAGUGGAGUGAGAUAUUUUUUCUGAAUCUUUAAUUUGUCAAAUUCUUUAUUUGUGACCUCUACAUUGGUACAUCCAUAUCCAUACUAGGUCAAGACACAGACCUAUUUUUCACAAUAUAGUAUGAUGAAAGUACAUCGUUUUAAACA
Molecule: long non-coding RNA, 2213 nt
Organism: Panicum virgatum (switchgrass)
Lineage: Eukaryota; Viridiplantae; Streptophyta; Magnoliopsida; Poales; Poaceae
Exons: 8
Source: RefSeq, a predicted model, not a curated record